ACCAAGGCUCCAAUCUGGCCUCUCCCAUUCCCUGGCUGUGUGAUCUUGUGCCUCCCUAAGUCUCAGGGUCUCCAUUUCUUGAAAAUGAGGAUAUUCCUGCUUUACAAAGUGGCUGAGAGGAUGAAGAUGCAAAGUACGUGGCCCUCCUACCGUCUAACCACUGAUGCAUGGUAGUGGUAAAUGGGAUGAGAUAGGUUGAAAUCUUUUGUACCCAACUUGUCACUUGGGCCUUGGGAUUAAAUUAUCAAGAAAAGAGGUGGCUUUGGGAAAAGUCUACCUCCUCAAAGACCAGAGAGUUCCAAUCCAGAAUACAGUUAUGAUCUGAGGCCUGGGGACCCCAGCUGUCCAAUCAGGGUCAGCCUCAUGCCCCUGGGCGUGUGCAAAGCUGGAAGGCAACCAUCUUGAGCCAGAUUGUGGACUCUCAGUUCACUAGGAAGGGGCUGUCAGGUUCCAGCAACCCAGCCAGCCUUUCCUCACCAGCCUCAGGCCGCCAUCUCCUACCCUGUGUCCUACAGGAAGCAACUCCAGAAAAUCAGGGUCCAAGUGCUCCCAUUAAAUCAUGGCCAUGGACUCAGGAUCCUGAUACCAGUAUGCAACUUGGCCUUAAAGAUCACCCAGGACUCAUUAAAACCCAGGAGGGAGCCGGGUCCAGUAGUGCAGGCCAGUAAUCUCAGCUACUAGGGAGACUGAGAUAGGAGAAUAGUAAAUUUGAGGCCAGCCUGGGCAACAAAAAAAUAUAUAAAGGCUAGAAAAAAUAGAAGGCCUAGAACCUGCCUCAACCUCAUCUCCGUGGUCCACACUCCAGCUCCAGGCUCUACUGUCAGGAUUGCUUCCCUGCCAUGCCCAGGACAGGGAAGCUGGUACAGAGGUCUCUGUGUCUUGGUCUCCCACAUGUCCAUCUCCAAGGGAUGGAAAGCAUCCAGGUGACUGCCUUCAGAUAAAAGCAUUCUUGGUGUCAGAGCCCAUGGGAGAACAGGGAUGAGAGCUCCGUGUCCCCUGGGAAACCAGCUUCAGUUCUGUAGCAACAGCUUGUAAUUACACCAACCAGCUCACCAUGGUAGGAGGCAAGGACCUGCACAACCACAGCUGUGUGACCACAGGCCAGACGACUCACCCUUUGAACCCUGGCUCCCCUGCUGCCCUGUGAGGGGGAUAAUAACCUUGGCUGGGCCAUGGCCCAGGCUGUGGGCACUCAGGUGAGGUCAUGGAUGGGGAAAAUGCUGUGUAGACUCUGAAUCCAGGGUUCAGGUGAGGGUGCAUCUGUAUUAUCAGAUGAAGUCAGAAGCCACAGGCGGAUCAUAAGGCAGAUACUUGCUCAGAAUCCUGCCACAAUUUCAGGAUUAGGACUGAGUGACUUGAGCCCUUAAUUUUCAGUGUUUUCUGUUUUAUUUUUAUUUAUUUAUUUUGGUUUUUUGGAGACAGUGUCUUUUCUUUUUUCCCUGUUAUCCGGGAUCA
Molecule: long non-coding RNA, 1455 nt
Organism: Heterocephalus glaber (naked mole-rat)
Lineage: Eukaryota; Metazoa; Chordata; Mammalia; Rodentia; Bathyergidae
Source: Ensembl